UUCUUCUCACUUAUUAUUGUUUUCGUCAUCAUCGACAUCAUCGUCACCAUUACUUUUCAUUGUCUUUGGAAAUUUGGACAGAGACCACAGGCAGAUGCGGUGCCGUAUUCCCACAGGGCUGGAGCAGCGGGUGUGUUUUUCUGUGAUAGCAGCGCUUCCCGGAACCAGCAGGGAUGACACGGCAGUUAGGAGCUUCUCUGGGGCCUUCAGGCAGACGGUCUGGGCUGUGUCCUGGCUGUGCCUUUUCCCAGCCCUACCUGCAGUCCUACACAUCUUCUCCACCUCCAGCGGCUUCUCCUUCUCACAUCCACCCUCUGCGAAGGCAUAAAUAGUAGCAACUCCCUUCUGGAUUCUAUGAGGUGAUAAUUACAUGAGAUGGCAGAGCCUGGAGCACGGGAGCUCCUCAGUGACUCAGUCAUGUUCAUUCCAAGGAGUUCAGGGUCCUUGCCGUCUGCAAACCUUUCCCCUUAUUUUCAAGAUCCUUGAGUCUGACUGUCAAGCAGUAACAUUCCAGCCUCAACUACAACAAUACUUGUAGAUGGUAAGAAACAUUGAGAUAGAGGAGAAUUUCUUAGAGAAGGUCAGGGUCUUGGAUUCCUUCAUAGAAAAGAAAAAAGGGCCAAUUUAUGUCCUUUGCUAACUCAAGGCCUGAUUUAAAACCGUAACCCAUGGGUAAAAAUGUAAAAAAGCUCAACCACAAAAGCAUGUAUGGGGACGUGUUCCCUGCUGCUGGGAGGGCUAUAGGGCUGGGUGCCAUUAUGUUCAUGUACAAUGAAGAGUGGGAACUCCUCUAUGUGGGGCCAGCCACGAGCCUGACCCCAUGCACAGCAUCUCAUUUAAGUUUCUCCACGUACCCACAGAAUGGAGCUUCCACUGGACCCCAUGUCACUGGUGAGGGACUUCAGGCAGAGAGAAAGCUCAUCCUUUGCCCAAGGUCACACCGCUGGUAAAAAGCAAAUGAAGUUCAAACUGACCUCCUCAUCCCUGCCCUUGUCCUCCCAACAGGCUCCUCACAGGUGGAAAAAUCAACCCCUACAGCAAACUCAUUGUUUUUUUGACCUCUCCUAAAAUUAAAAUCCAAGAUCCCUCAUGAGCUCUGUGAUCUUGGGUAAGGUGUUUUUUUUUUUUUCACCUCUAUGGGUUCCAGUUUCCUCCAAAGAAAAACCAAGGGUUUUGCAAACAUUUAAUUGUCAGUGCACAUCAUGCCAGUUUCAUGUCCUUGACCUUGGGAGAAGGCUGGCCAGUGGCCAGAACCGUCCUCUAUGCUCUGAGGCUGAGAGGCGUCAAAGCAAAGCUCUGUGACACACAUUACCUUUGAGCCCCCAAAGAACAUGAAGGAGCCCAGCCUGGGGGGUGCUUCUACUCUCUCUCUCCCAGUCCAGACUCCAGCUACUUCCCCUAAAGAGGAAGGCCAUGCUGAGUGUCUCCAGCUGAGGACGUGUUACUCCAAGACUCAUCUCCUUUGAUGUCUGGUCUCGUUAGCGGCUACGGUGGUAUAGGUGCUGACUGGGUUAACUCCAUCAAUAUUCUCCUUCUUACUCACCUACUUUGCUGUUUAAUAACAUAAUACAUAUUCUUGUAUCUUU
This is a long non-coding RNA of Homo sapiens (human), 1586 nucleotides long. Ensembl annotates it as long intergenic non-protein coding RNA 2368. Lineage: Eukaryota; Metazoa; Chordata; Mammalia; Primates; Hominidae. The record is from Ensembl.